GUGCUCCGGGCCCAAGGCAGCGCACGCUCCCCAACGGGCCUGUAACCAGAACAGCCAUGAGGGCUGGACGCACAGUCCUGCGUGUGCUCGCGGUGUGGGGAGCUGAGUAUACCUGGCAAGUGGAGCAUCUGCCAUAGCCAGGGAGCAAGAUACAAACAGAAAACGUCCAGUCACCCGGGCCACAGUGGCCCGCGACAACUCACCACCGUCGUCAAAGCUUGAACACCUGGAAGUAAACUCACCAGGAGCUCCGAGACUUAGAUGAGGAAAAUCAAAACCUUCACCAGAUGACGAAAGAGGAAACGGAAUCAGCCCUGAGAGCUGUGUGGUGUUUCAGAUCCACAUCGAUUCUCCCCCAAAUUCACUUAUAAAUCCAGUGCUAUCCCAACAUAAAGGUCACAGCUAAAAAAUUUAACACAAUUUGACAAGCUAAUUGUCGAGUUCAUGGGAUGUUCAAAGCAGACUCUUCAUAGCUGCUCAGGUGUCCACAAACGAUCGACAGAUAAGCCCAGCGUGGCCCUCCACACCAGGGAACAGGAUUCCACCAGGAAAAGAAUGAGGCCCGCACGGCUGCAGGGGGUGGAGAGCGUUUGGAACCAGACGGGAGUGAGGGUCACUCAACAUCGCAAAUGGACUAAAUGCUACCGAAUUGUACGCUUUAAAACGGUUCAUUUUAUGUGAUGUGAAUUUCAG
Molecule: long non-coding RNA, 693 nt
Filed under: Homo sapiens (human)
Lineage: Eukaryota; Metazoa; Chordata; Mammalia; Primates; Hominidae
Description: non-protein coding lnc-LRCOL1-3:5
Source: RNAcentral